UAAAAAUGGAUACAUACCAUUUUAAA
RNAcentral lists this non-coding RNA (26 nucleotides) under Rattus norvegicus (Norway rat). The record is from RNAcentral. Lineage: Eukaryota; Metazoa; Chordata; Mammalia; Rodentia; Muridae.